This is a long non-coding RNA of Pristis pectinata (smalltooth sawfish), 138 nucleotides long. RefSeq lists it as uncharacterized. Lineage: Eukaryota; Metazoa; Chordata; Chondrichthyes; Rhinopristiformes; Pristidae. The transcript is spliced from 3 exons. The record is from RefSeq and is a predicted model, not a curated record.
AGGGUGAUCGUGGGGAAUCUGGUGCCGAGGGAGAGAAAGGUGCCCCUGGAACUGCUGGUCCUCCUGGGCCAAGGGGUCCAAUGGGUCUUCCAGGGUCACCCAGUAAUGGAAUGGAAAGAAAUCUGAAGGGAGAAAAGG